ACUCCGAUAGUGCAGUGAUUAGCACGCGUCCUCAGAAAGGGUGAGACGCGGGUUCAGCUCCUGCCCGAGGUU
Molecule: non-coding RNA, 72 nt
Organism: Parelaphostrongylus tenuis
Lineage: Eukaryota; Metazoa; Nematoda; Chromadorea; Rhabditida; Metastrongylidae
Source: the annotation of a GenBank genome assembly